This 24-nucleotide non-coding RNA is filed under the name Mus musculus (house mouse). Lineage: Eukaryota; Metazoa; Chordata; Mammalia; Rodentia; Muridae. The record is from RNAcentral.
UGAAAGAUGACAUGUCUCCCUAGA